This 253-nucleotide ribosomal RNA is filed under the name uncultured bacterium. RNAcentral's name for it is "partial 16S ribosomal RNA". It matches the Rfam family "Bacterial small subunit ribosomal RNA", at positions 524 to 776 of the family's 1533-position model. The record is from RNAcentral.
UACAGAGGUCCCGAGCGUUGUUCGGAUUCACUGGGCGUAAAGGGUGCGUAGGUGGCAUGGUAAGUUUGAUGUGAAAGCUCAGGGCUCAACCCUGAAAUGGCAUUGAAUACUACUGUGCUGGAGGUUUGGAGGGGGGACUGGAAUUCUUGGUGUAGCAGUGAAAUGCGUAGAUAUCAAGAGGAACACCAGUGGCGAAGGCGGUUCUCUGGGAAUAUCCUGACGCUGAGGAGCGAAAGUGUGGGGAGCGAACAGG